Pyrus x bretschneideri (Chinese white pear) is the source of this 127-nucleotide small nuclear RNA. NCBI's taxonomy places the organism in Eukaryota, Viridiplantae, Streptophyta, Magnoliopsida, Rosales, Rosaceae. The record is from RefSeq and is a predicted model, not a curated record.
GUGUUUGAAAAAAGGAGAGAUGGUUGGCAUCUCCCUUGACAGGGACGGGAACAGCUUUCGAGCUCACCUGUUACCCACCCUUGUAGUGGAUCAAAAUAGGAUAAGAAUUGUCCGCCCUUCUAUUUUU